UACAGAGGGUGCAAGCGUUGUUCGGAAUUAUUGGGCGUAAAGCGCGUGUAGGCGGCUUUGCAAGUCGGGUGUGAAAUCCCUCAGCUCAACUGAGGAAGUGCGCCCGAAACUGCAGAGCUUGAGUGCCAGAGAGGGCAGUGGAAUUCCCCAAGUAGAGGUGAAAUUCGUAGAUAUGGGGAGGAACACCGGUGGCGAAGGCGGCUGCCUGGCUGGUAACUGAUGCUGAGACGCGAAAGCAUGGGGAGCAAACAGG
Molecule: ribosomal RNA, 253 nt
Filed under: uncultured bacterium
Lineage: Bacteria
Description: partial 16S ribosomal RNA
Rfam family: Bacterial small subunit ribosomal RNA
Source: RNAcentral